GACGAACGCUGGCGGCGUGCUUAACACAUGCAAGUCGAACGGAAAGGCCCUGCUUUUGUGGGGUGCUCGAGUGGCGAACGGGUGAGUAACACGUGAGUAACCUGCCCUUGACUUUGGGAUAACUUCAGGAAACUGGGGCUAAUACCGGAUAGGAGCUCCUGCUGCAUGGUGGGGGUUGGAAAGUUUCGGCGGUUGGGGAUGGACUCGCGGCUUAUCAGCUUGUUGGUGGGGUAGUGGCUUACCAAGGCUUUGACGGGUAGCCGGCCUGAGAGGGUGACCGGCGACAUUGGGACUGAGAUACGGCCCAGACUCCUACGGGAGGCAGCAGUGGGGAAUAUGGCACAAUGGGCGGAAGCCUGAUGCAGCAACGCCGCGGGCGGGAUAGCGGCCUUCGGGUUGUAAACCGCUUUCGCCUGUGACGAAGCGUGAGUGACGGUAAUGGGUAAAGAAGCACCGGCUAACUACGUG
Molecule: ribosomal RNA, 468 nt
Filed under: uncultured bacterium
Lineage: Bacteria
Description: partial 16S ribosomal RNA
Rfam family: Bacterial small subunit ribosomal RNA
Source: RNAcentral